UGUAAAUGAAACGUUAUUAUGGAACACACUCAACUUCGAGGCAAGGCCUGCCUUUCAAUAGCAUUCACUCACUACUAUUGGCCAGGCGUCCAUGCUUACGCAAGGUAACGUAACCCCAUUUGUACAGGUCCUAUCCCCUGACCAAUUGGCUAUCCUAACCCUCAACCACUCGAGGCCAAUGCCUAACCCCUAAUAAUUAACCACUUUGGCG
This is a long non-coding RNA of Sander lucioperca (pikeperch), 211 nucleotides long. RefSeq lists it as uncharacterized. Lineage: Eukaryota; Metazoa; Chordata; Actinopteri; Perciformes; Percidae. The transcript has 3 exons. The record is from RefSeq and is a predicted model, not a curated record.